This 26-nucleotide non-coding RNA is filed under the name Mus musculus (house mouse). The record is from RNAcentral. Lineage: Eukaryota; Metazoa; Chordata; Mammalia; Rodentia; Muridae.
UGGGAGUCAUGUCUUAGUUCCCUUAG